This 718-nucleotide ribosomal RNA is filed under the name uncultured bacterium. RNAcentral describes it as "bacterial SSU rRNA". It matches the Rfam family "Bacterial small subunit ribosomal RNA", at positions 63 to 810 of the family's 1533-position model. The record is from RNAcentral.
CGAACGAGUGCAGAGGAUUCGUCCAAUGUUACUUAGUGGCGGACGGGUGAGUAACGCGUGAGUACCUGCCUUGGAGUGGGGAAUAACAGGUGGAAACAUCUGCUAAUACCGCAUGAUGUCGCAUGGCCAAAGAUUUAUCGCUCUGAGAUGGACUCGCGUCUGAUUAGCUGGUUGGCGGGGUAACGGCCCACCAAGGCGACGAUCAGUAGCCGGACUGAGAGGUUGGCCGGCCACAUUGGGACUGAGACACGGCCCAGACUCCUACGGGAGGCAGCAGUGGGGAAUAUUGGGCAAUGGGCGCAAGCCUGACCCAGCAACGCCGCGUGAAGGAAGAAGGCUUUCGGGUUGUAAACUUCUUUUCUCAGGGACGAAGCAAGUGACGGUACCUGAGGAAUAAGCCACGGCUAACUACGUGCCAGCAGCCGCGGUAAUACGUAGGUGGCAAGCGUUAUCCGGAUUUACUGGGUGUAAAGGGCGUGUAGGCGGGACUGCAAGUCAGAUGUGAAAACCAUGGGCUCAACCUGUGGCCUGCAUUUGAAACUGUAGUUCUUGAGUACUGGAGAGGCAGACGGAAUUCCUAGUGUAGCGGUGAAAUGCGUAGAUAUUAGGAGGAACACCAGUGGCGAAGGCGGUCUGCUGGACAGCAACUGACGCUGAGGCGCGAAAGCGUGAGGAGCAAACAGGAUUAGAUACCCUGGUAGUCCACGCUGUAAACGAU